This is a long non-coding RNA of Solenopsis invicta (red fire ant), 877 nucleotides long. RefSeq lists it as uncharacterized. The record is from RefSeq and is a predicted model, not a curated record. NCBI's taxonomy places the organism in Eukaryota, Metazoa, Arthropoda, Insecta, Hymenoptera, Formicidae. The transcript has 2 exons.
UAUUUUCUGAAUCUCUUCAUCAUCUCUUUCAGUUCCGCUUCUCUCUCUGCCAAUAAAAAUUUGUUGCAUAUAUAAAUAGUCAUAUUGCUGCAUUUGUAUUCUAUUUUGGUGCUAUCAAAUAUACGACAAGAAAUAUGUUAUCACAGGUCCCUGUGAGAUAUUUUAAUUGCAAGUUUAUUGGAAUGAAGUUCCAGAUAAAAGUUAUUUGCGUUCCACUUAACGCUUAAUUGUAACGCUUGCAGACAUUACAAAAAAUUCCAUUUUAUUAAAAGAUUUUUUGAAAGAGAGUCCCCAAAAUUGGACUUCAAAUUAAAAGAGAGUAAAACAAUUUUAACAGUUCCAUUAAAGUUUAAUUAAAUUAAAUAUUUUCCAAAUAUUUUCACUCUAAAAUUAUGCUAAAGUUAUACUAAAAUUAUAUUAAAAUUUUGUUAAAAUUUUACUGAAAAAUGUUGUAAAACGUGGAAAAAAAUUCAGAAAAUUCAGAAAAGUUUUAUGGUUAUUUCUCCAAACCUUUCUUAAAAGUUUAUUUGCUAAUUUCUGUACAAUUUCACCACAUAUUUCUCCGCAAUUUUUACAUAAAUGGAUUCUAUUUUUAAACAAACUUUGGAGAAAUAUACAGAAUAUACAGAAAAAGUGCAACAAAAAUUUCAGAGAAAUUUUUCAUCAAAAUACAUAUAUAUAAUAAAAUAUUAUAAAUGUUAUUUCUUUACCUGUACUUCAUUUGGUUCAUAUAUGACGAUGAUUAGUUGAGGACCCAUCCAAAAUUGAAAUGGAGAAGAAUACUUCUUACAGAUCAGCAUGAUAAUAUCUAGAAAAUCUAAAAAGUUUUGAGAUGUUAGAAAUUUUAUAUUGUAAAUAAAAUAUUUUCAUAAAAUGA